This 508-nucleotide ribosomal RNA is filed under the name uncultured bacterium. RNAcentral's name for it is "partial 16S ribosomal RNA". It matches the Rfam family "Bacterial small subunit ribosomal RNA", at positions 30 to 523 of the family's 1533-position model. The record is from RNAcentral.
AUUGAACGCUGGCGGCAUGCCUCACACAUGCAAGUCGAACGGCAGCGGGGGAGAAGCUUGCUUUUCCUGCCGGCGAGUGGCGAACGGGUGAGUAAUACAUCGGAACGUGCCCUGUAGUGGGGGAUAACUAGUCGAAAGAUUAGCUAAUACCGCAUACGACCUGAGGGUGAAAGUGGGGGACCGCAAGGCCUCAUGCUAUAGGAGCGGCCGAUGGCUGACCAGCUAGUUGGUGGGGUAAAGGCCUACCAUGGCGACGAUCAGUAGCUGGUCUGGGAGGACGAUCGGCCACACUGGGACUGAGACACGGCCCAGACUCCUACGGGAGGCAGCAGUGGGGAAUUUUGGACAAUGGGCGAAAGCCUGAUCCAGCAAUGCCGCGUGUGUGAAGAAGGCCUUCGGGUUGUAAAGCACUUUUGUCCGGAAAGAAAUGGCUCUGGUUAAUACCUGGGGUCGAUGACGGUACCGGAAGAAUAAGGACCGGCUAACUACGUGCCAGCCGCCGCAGUAA